GGGGGGGGGAAUUUCAGUGUAACAGGGACAGAAAUAGAGCGAAUACAAAAGGUUUUUUUCCAUUUUUCAGUUUUGAGUUUCUUUUUUUUAGUUUUUUUAUUUUAUUGUUCAUUUAAAGUAAAAAGAGAGGAGAAAGAAACUUACCUGGUCACCGGAGUCGACGGGUCGGCGUCUUCUCCAUCGACGGAGGCCGUAGGCAGGCGAGCGGCGGCGCGAGGACGCUAGGGUGAAACCCUAGCAGAGCAAAAAGGGGUUUUUUUUUGUUUUUUUUUCUUUCAUUCUUUUAAAAUGAUUUUAGAAAGAAAAAUUGUUUUAAAUAACAAUUUCAAAACGGCGUCGUUUUCCCAGGCCUGACCCGCGCGGUGACCCGACCCGAAGGGGAGGAUCCGCGCGCUCUGACGUCAGGUGGGGAAUUUGCGCAUUUAGUCCCUCUCUUUUGCUGCGCAUGCCAAUUAAAUUCUUUUUGUUGGUUUUAAAAUUGGGCCGCAUAUUUAGUUCCUGUUUC
RNAcentral lists this long non-coding RNA (505 nucleotides) under Gossypium raimondii (Peruvian cotton). RNAcentral's name for it is "long non-coding RNA (GRAI_LNC000146)". Lineage: Eukaryota; Viridiplantae; Streptophyta; Magnoliopsida; Malvales; Malvaceae. The record is from RNAcentral.